RNAcentral lists this ribosomal RNA (409 nucleotides) under uncultured bacterium. RNAcentral's name for it is "partial 16S ribosomal RNA". It matches the Rfam family "Bacterial small subunit ribosomal RNA", at positions 356 to 782 of the family's 1533-position model. The record is from RNAcentral.
GGGGAAUAUUGCACAAUGGGCGAAAGCCUGAUGCAGCAACGCCGCGUGAGUGAUGAAGGUCUUCGGAUUGUAAAGCUCUGUCUUUUGGGACGAUAAUGACGGUACCAAAGGAGGAAGCCACGGCUAACUACGUGCCAGCAGCCGCGGUAAUACGUAGGUGGCGAGCGUUGUCCGGAUUUACUGGGCGUAAAGGGUGCGUAGGCGGAUGUUUAAGUGAGAUGUGAAAUACCCGGGCUUAACUUGGGUGCCGCAUUUCAAACUGGAUAUCUAGAGUGCAGGAGAGGAGAAUGGAAUUCCUAGUNUAGCGGUGAAAUGCGUAGAGAUUAGGAAGAACACCAGUGGCGAAGGCGAUUCUCUGGACUGUAACUGACGCUGAGGCACGAAAGCGUGGGUAGCAAACAGGAUUAGA